RNAcentral lists this long non-coding RNA (601 nucleotides) under Homo sapiens (human). RNAcentral's name for it is "BIRC6 antisense RNA 2 (BIRC6-AS2)". Lineage: Eukaryota; Metazoa; Chordata; Mammalia; Primates; Hominidae. The record is from RNAcentral.
CAAGAUCAUGCCAUUGCACUCCAGCCUGGGCCACAAGAGUGAAACUCCGUCUCAAAAAAAUUACAGCUGACCCUUGAACAACACAGGUUUGAACUGCACUAGUCCACUUAUAUACAGAUUUUCUGCCAGCCUGAGACAGCAAGACCAACCUCAUCACUUCUUCCUCAUUAGGCUACUCAACAUGAAGACUCUGAGUAUGAAGACUUUUAUGAUGAUCCACUUCCAUUUAAUGAACAAUGAAGACAUUUUCUGGGAAAACUGGUACUUCUGUCAUCACUACAGCAGAAGAUGUUAAGAAGCAAGAAGAGAAGAAAAAGAAGAAUCUAUCUUGACUAUGUUAGGUAUAGCUGGAACAGUACUUAACCUCUUAGUGAUUGUUUUGGUCUACAUCCAUACCACACUCUGAAGGUCUCGUUCAAGGGACUGCAUUCAGGGCAAAACCUGGCUCUAACAAGAAAGAUUUAGAAACUAUCCUUUAAAAGCACACCUCCAGAAUAUUAAGACAUACAUCCCAGGGUAACUCCCUUGCUCUAAGAGCAAUUACUAUAUGAUGCUUCCAGUUUGAGGAAUAAAAUUAUAACAAAGCAAAAAAAAAAAAAAA